This 460-nucleotide ribosomal RNA is filed under the name uncultured bacterium. Its description in RNAcentral is "partial 16S ribosomal RNA". It matches the Rfam family "Bacterial small subunit ribosomal RNA", at positions 338 to 795 of the family's 1533-position model. The record is from RNAcentral.
CCUACGGGUGGCUGCAGUGAGGAAUAUUGGUCAAUGGACGAGAGUCUGAACCAGCCAAGUAGCGUGAAGGAUGACUGCCCUAUGGGUUGUAAACUUCUUUUAUAAAGGAAUAAAACGAGGCACGUGUGCCUUUUUGUAUGUACUUUAUGAAUAAGGAUCGGCUAACUCCGUGCCAGCAGCCGCGGUAAUACGGAGGAUCCGAGCGUUAUCCGGAUUUAUUGGGUUUAAAGGGAGCGUAGAUGGGUUGUUAAGUCAGUUGUGAAAGUUUGCGGCUCAACCGUAAAAUUGCAAUUGAUACUGGCAGUCUUGAGUACAGUUGAGGUAGGCGGAAUUCGUGGUGUAGCGGUGAAAUGCUUAGAUAUCACGAAGAACCCUGAUUGCGAAGGCAGCUUACUAAACUGUGACUGACAUUGAUGCUCGAAAGUGUGGGUAUCAAACAGGAUUAGAUACCCUAGUAGUC